RNAcentral lists this ribosomal RNA (490 nucleotides) under uncultured bacterium. RNAcentral's name for it is "bacterial SSU rRNA". It matches the Rfam family "Bacterial small subunit ribosomal RNA", at positions 1 to 494 of the family's 1533-position model. The record is from RNAcentral.
GAUUAGAGUUUGAUCCUGGCUCAGGAUGAACGCUAGCGGCAGGCCUAACACAUGCAAGUCGAACGGGAUUUAAUAGCUUGCUAUUAAUGAGAGUGGCGCACGGGUGAGUAACGCGUAUGCAACCUACCUUAUACUGGGGAAUAGCCCGGAGAAAUUCGGAUUAAUACCCCAUAGUAUUAUUGAAUCGCAUGGUUUAAUAAUUAAAGAUUUAUCGGUAUAAGAUGGGCAUGCGUCCUAUUAGCUAGAUGGAGAGGUAACGGCUCCCCAUGGCUACGAUAGGUAGGGGUUCUGAGAGGAUGGUCCCCCACACUGGAACUGAGACACGGUCCAGACUCCUACGGGAGGCAGCAGUGAGGAAUAUUGGUCAAUGGACGGAAGUCUGAACCAGCCAUGCCGCGUGCAGGAAUAAGGUCCUAUGGAUUGUAAACUGCUUUUAUUUGGGAAUAAACCUCCUUACGUGUAGGGAGCUGAAGGACCAAAGAAUAGCACC